This 503-nucleotide ribosomal RNA is filed under the name uncultured Nostocoides sp. Its description in RNAcentral is "bacterial SSU rRNA". It matches the Rfam family "Bacterial small subunit ribosomal RNA", at positions 8 to 527 of the family's 1533-position model. Lineage: Bacteria; Bacillati; Actinomycetota; Actinomycetes; Micrococcales; Intrasporangiaceae. The record is from RNAcentral.
AGGGUUUGAUCAUGGCUCAGGACGAACGCUGGCGGCGUGCUUAACACAUGCAAGUCGAGCGAUGAAGCACCUUCGGGUGUGAAUUAGCGGCGAACGGGUGAGGAACACGUGAGAAAUCUGCCUUCAACACUGGGAUAACUCCGGGAAACCGGGGCUAAUACCGGAUAUGCAACCUGCGGGCAUCCGCGGGUUUGGAAAGUUUUUCGGUUGAAGAUGAUCUCGCGGCCUAUCAGCUUGUUGGUGAGGUAAUGGCUCACCAAGGCGACGACGGGUAGCCGGCCUGAGAGGGCGACCGGCCACACUGGGACUGAGACACGGCCCAGACUCCUACGGGAGGCAGCAGUGGGGAAUAUUGGGCAAUGGAGGAAACUCUGACCCAGCGACGCCGCGUGCGGGAUGAAGGCCUUCGGGUUGUAAACCGCUUUCAGCAGGGAAGAAGCGAAAGUGACGGUACCUGCAGAAGAAGCACCGGCUAACUAUGUGCCAGCCGCCGCGGUAAUUCA